GACAGAGGAUGCAAGCGUUAUCCGGAAUGAUUGGGCGUAAAGCGUCUGUAGGUGGCUUUUUAAGUCCGCCGUCAAAUCCCAGGGCUCAACCCUGGACAGGCGGUGGAAACUACCAAGCUGGAGUACGGUAGGGGCAGAGGGAAUUUCCGGUGGAGCGGGUGAAAUGACGUAGAUAUUGGAAAGACCACCGAUGGCGAAGGCACUCUAGCUGGGCCAUUACUGACACUGAGAGACGAAAGCUAGGGGAGCAAAUGGG
RNAcentral lists this ribosomal RNA (256 nucleotides) under uncultured bacterium. RNAcentral's name for it is "partial 16S ribosomal RNA". It matches the Rfam family "Bacterial small subunit ribosomal RNA", at positions 524 to 776 of the family's 1533-position model. The record is from RNAcentral.